Molecule: long non-coding RNA, 1068 nt
Organism: Melanotaenia boesemani (Boeseman's rainbowfish)
Lineage: Eukaryota; Metazoa; Chordata; Actinopteri; Atheriniformes; Melanotaeniidae
Exons: 2
Source: RefSeq, a predicted model, not a curated record
UGCAUAUAUCAGAUAUUGGUAACAAGGUUGUUAGAAAAACAGCUUUACAUUAAAUCUUAGUUUGCUGUACUUGGUGCUUUUUCUGUAACUUUUUUGCUACAGCAAUCGCAUUAGGUCAGACCUGGUAAUAUUAACAUAUGACUUUCAACAUGGUAGGAAUCUGAACUGACAGAGUAGCAAUCAGAGUUCAUUAAAAAGGACAAAAAUAGGAGCAAUUGGAGUAAUAAUGAAAAGGUUAGCUUAUAGAAUUAAAGCACAGAUUCAGCAGAUACGAUGGUGUGAGACAGAUGAUUAGAAACUUAAGGGUUGGGAGCCUCAUGAACAGUCACCAUUUGGAUUCAGAAUUGAACAGGAUGGAUAGAAGGACUUGCUCUGAUGACUGAUUUGAAAAGACAUUAAAAUCUGGGUUAGGAGAAUAUGUUAUGCUAGUCUUACUCUAUAAGUGGCAUGUUUCCAUUUUUCUUUCAAUAUACAUUAUUUAAAGAAAUGAUUCUCCUCAAAAACAAGAUGGUUAAUGUUUCCCUCUUGCCAGUGAUGCUAUUUUCAGUGUUCUUAGGGCUACAAUGACAAGUUAACCAGCAACACUUCCCUGAAGAAAAGCCAGCUACUAUGUGACCUGAAGGUGGCAUUAAACUCCAUUCUUUGGACUGUGUUGGAUCACUGUUUCUCAUAAGGGUUAUUUUAUGAGCCAGUUAGCUAGUUAAUUAUUUUUGAUUGGACUGUAAGCCUUAGCCCCACAUAACAGGGCUGAGAGUGAGCAGCCAGCAGUCUUACAGAUGGUAAAUGAUCAGUCUUUGUGUUUUGAGUUAAUGCUUAGUUUCAGAGCCUCCUGUGUGAGAGGGUAUGAUUAGUAAACGUGUUUCUGUAUAAGGGAACUGUGCUUGUUCUUGUAGCCCCAACUGCAGCAACCUCAUUGAAAACUGGUGUGUGUGUUCCCAGGUGUCAUGUUCCCAUUUCUGCUGUUUGGAGCUGGAGCUGAUAAAUGCCUGCAAACACUGGGGUCAAUUGCUGCAGGGCUGAAUGUUGCUCUAAAAAGCUUUGCCAUUGCACUAAAAAGCCAAAUACUAA